Non-coding RNA from Pan troglodytes (chimpanzee), 148 nucleotides. It matches the Rfam family "Metazoan signal recognition particle RNA". From Rfam's summary of the family: The signal recognition particle (SRP) is a universally conserved ribonucleoprotein. It is involved in the co-translational targeting of proteins to membranes. The eukaryotic SRP consists of a 300-nucleotide 7S RNA and six proteins: SRPs 72, 68, 54, 19, 14, and 9. The record is from Rfam. NCBI's taxonomy places the organism in Eukaryota, Metazoa, Chordata, Mammalia, Primates, Hominidae.
GCCAGGCGUGGUGGCGCAUGCUUGUAGUCCCGGCUACUCAGGAGGCUGAGGCAGGAGGAUCACUUGAGCCCAGGUUGUUGAGACUGCAGUGAGCUAUGAUCGUGCCACUGUACUCCAGCCUGGGCAACAGAGCAAGACCCUGUCUCAA